Molecule: transfer RNA, 102 nt
Filed under: Colwellia echini
Lineage: Bacteria; Pseudomonadati; Pseudomonadota; Gammaproteobacteria; Alteromonadales; Colwelliaceae
Description: tRNA-OTHER
Source: RNAcentral
GCGGGUUUGGCGGAAUUGAAAAACAAUGACGCGCUGCUUUCUAUUAGAGAGUAGGUUCCAGUAUCGCAAGAUGUGAGAGUUCAAGUCUCUUGACCCGUACCA